CUAAAAUAUACGUUUCUGUAUUAUUCCACCUACCGCAUUCUUUCCCGAAACAUUACGAUACCCAGUCAAUGUUUUGUUUGAGUAGGUCAGUCACGAGAGAUUAGUUGUGACGCCUGAACCUGGCAUCAUCUCCCUGACCUGUGGUAUUACCUACCUAUCUGAGCCGAGCACGGGCGCCUCUGCUCCUCCUAGCGGGUCGUCGCUCGCUCGUCGAGAGCAGUUCCAGAAACAGCCUUAUCAUUUCAAGGUUAUUUUUCGUUACUCAAGGGCCUUUACAUUCUGAUCCUAUGGGAGUAUUUAUUUUCACGGCGUUGCUCUGGACAUUUAGUGGAGUGGGAUGUCUGCCACUAUCCUCACCUCCUGUGGAUGGAAAGGUAACUGAUUGUUUUCAGGACUCUCUGAAGGGUAAUGGAGCUGUUCCGCAUCCUGGUUGUGAGACGCAACUAACAGCAGGUAAUGCGUUACAAAGGCACCAGGGCCUGUUGAGGGAACUGCAGGAGCUUGCCCAGGACGAGAGGGAGAGGGAGCAGGAGUUCAGGAGGAAGAAGGAGCUGUAUGAGGGGAACCAGUCUGAGGGAGAGAAGAGCCAAGAAGAGAGAGAGGAGAAGAACAAUGAACUGAGGAUGAAAAAAGUGACAGAGGAGGAGGAAGCAAAGGUAGAAAUGAUGGACAGAACAAAGGACGAGAUGAGGGAGGAGCCCAGACUAGAGGAGAAAAGUGCUGAUGAGGAGGAGAGCACCAAAGAGCUAGAGGAGCUCCUCGCGGCUGAAAUCACAAAGAAAGCGGAGGAGGAAAACGAUGACAGGGAACUUGAGGAACUGCUCAAAGAGCUUAAAAAGAAAAGGUACGAGUCGGCGAAGGAAAAAGAGCUCCAGCAAGGGUCAGAAGCUGAGGAGGAGAGAAGGAAGAAAGAGGAGGAAGAGAAGGAGGAACAGAGAAAGGGAGAGAAAAGGCGUCUAGAAAUCCUUGAAAGUGAAGAGAAGAAACGCAGCGAAGAGAGAAAGAACAACGAGGUGGAGCUCCUCGUGGAGAAAGAGAAGGUGGAGCGAGAGCUCAAAGAGCUUCUGAAAGAACAGGAUAGCAAGAAGAAUGCAGAGAAGGAGAAAGAGAGAGAGGAAAAACAGGAGGAACUAGAGGAGCUCCUUAAAAAAAUGAAACACGUCAAAGAGGAGGAGCAAGAAGAAGAGGAGGAGAAAAAUAGAGAGAAAGCCAGGGAGGCGGAGACGGUGAACGGACAUGGUCAGGAGCAGGUUGCCACUCCUCGGGAACUGGGGACGGAAGCUGGAGAGGACGACGAUGUGAAGGAGCCUCAGCAGAAACGAAUGAUGGAGAAAGCGAGUGAUGAAAGCACCCGGCAAUUUGAAAAGGAAAGGUACAGGGACAAUGAUGAUGAUGAUGAAGAAGAUGAGGAUGUGGAGGAGGAAGACUGGGAAGAGGAAGAGUCAGAUGUGGAGAGAAAGGAUAAUGAUGAUGAUGAUGAUGCUGAGAAGGAUGAAGGAGAUGAGCUUCUGGAGAUUGAGGCUGAGCUGCGAAAAGUGACUGCAGAACUUCGAGAGCUACGUAGGGGUCAUUAAGGUCGAAAUGAUCAUGCAGAUGCAUACACACAAACACACACCCACACACCCACACACAACCACACACAGGUAAGAUGCCCUGCUAGGCCUAGCUGGUAAAGGUUUGAAUCAUACGUUCAUGUCCAGUUGCGGUCAACUAUAUAAAAGAUGUAUGUAUACUUGAGUUUGCUUUGGUUGAAAUGGCUGCUGUGUGGCACAUAUAUCAUACAAACAGCAUAUUUACAACACACACAUUGUACCUGUAUUCUGGAUUAUACAAUUAUGAAUAACAUGACACAAGACUUUUUCACAUGCGUCACACUCAGAAACAUGAACAACUAAAUAGAUACGUGGAUUGAUCAUAACGCUUUUGAUGGCAUAUAUUUCUGUAUUGUUGUUCCAUUAAACCCCCCCCUCGCAAUCAGAGAUUACAAGGUCUUUAGACAUGUUGCCGUUAUCAGAGAUUGUUUAGUAAGAUGAGAAAUCACCAUAUGUAAAGCUUUCGUUAGGUCAGAGAUUGAUUAGUUAGGAAGAUGUGUAUAUAUGACCUGCUGAUGUAAAACUUUGGUUAGGUCAUAUAUUGCUUAGUGAGCAAGAUGUAAGAUCUGCUAGUGUAAAGCUCUAGUUACAUCUGAGUUUCUGAACCCUAUCCCAGAUGUAAGAUCUGCUAGUGUAAAGCUCUAGUUACAUCUGAGUUUCUGAACCUUCUCCCAGAUGUAAGAUCUGCUAGUGUAAAGCUCUAGUUACAUCUGAGUUUCUGAACCUUCUUCCAGAUGUAAGAUCUGCUGGUGUUCCGUACACAUUUUCAAAGCUUGAGGAUUUGUUGACUAAUUGAAUCAGCUGUACACUUAUAGGGUUAAAACAAAUACCUGAAAUGUCAGAGUGGAGAGGAUUGGGAAACCCAGGCUACAUUUCAGGAUUUAAGGUCUUUCAAUGGCAUAGCGGUCCUCUUUACAACUUGUCCUAUGUAUAUAGAUGUUGUGCAAUAAUGAAAUGUGAGCUUUGUUGCUGUCACUUUAACUCUGUUAUAAUAUUGACCAUAUUGAUUCAUGUGAUUGAGUUCCAUGUGUUUGUAUUGACAAAAUGUCAGGGUUAUGUUUAAUCUGGCUCAUGCACUGUUAAUGUUAGACUGUUAAUGAAGAAACCGGGGUGACAAUGAGAAUGAACAUGACAAUGGGGACCUCGGUAGUAAGAGAUGUCAUAGUGUUUCCGAAGCUAUGAAAGCCAAGUACAGUGGUCAUAACUUGGGGUUCAACUGAGGUUGGUCCCCACGGAGUUCUUAAACCCCCCCCCCCCCCCAAAAAAAAAAACCCAUAAUGAAUAUUAACACCCACCCGGCGCUUCUAAAAUAUUUUAUAUCCUCACACAGAAAUAAGCCCUGCAAUUAUAUUAGCAACAUCUAUCAUCUAUUGUAAUCUAACAGUACACUUCAGAGCCUAUGAAAGGAAUGGUCUGAGGAACGACGGGGUACUCCUCACACUGUGAUAAUCAUGUUAGAUGUCUAAACUACAGACCCUAAACGUUAUCUUUUUGAUCGUUAGCAACAUGUUGUUUGCUUGAAUGUCCCCCUCCCCCCAACAAAAAAAAAAGGCUUUCACUGCCAAGGGUUUAGUCCAAUAAUAGUCUAACUUUUACACCUGACCAUGUUAAUAAACCCAGCGCUCCACAUCCAUUCAACACUGUUGUGGGAGUCAGAUUUGCUGGGCUCUUAUUUGGAUUAUGGGACCUAGCUCAAUUGAACCCCUGGUCGUAACGUACUGAUUUUACAAGUAUAGUAGAAAUGGUCCGCAACAAGAUUUGCAGGGUUUUUCCUGACACUCAGGCCUUUCCGUUUGCUAGUUUGGUCACCCAGGUGGACAAGGUCAUAGAAAUAGAAUGAAUCGAUCUGUCCAUCCUAGUAAUUCUACUUCUAUGCCCAGGGUCAAGACACCACCCCAGUUUUUCACCCAGCUUUGCACUCUUAUCUCAAUCAGCCAAGGAGGUCUAAAGCAGGGAGAGACGAUGACAAGCCAUCUCUAGUAUCUGGUAGUAAUAAACGCUGAAGACUGUUUUAAAACCUUUUUAAGGUGGCGGGUUAAAUAUAAUCGUUUCGUUGUUUCAUGUGAUCACUGGUACGUAGCAGCCUUGUUUGAAUGAGACGUCCUGGGAAACAGUACCCCCUUGUGUCCAUUCAGUAGUGGUGCACUGCUCUCUGCAAGUUGGCAAGGGUUUACACGAGUGGUGACCAUUUAUGGCAGUUACGUUCAUAAAAACAUUAACUCAUGAUAUAACAUAUGAAGCUAUACAAAUCUACAUAAUAACGUAUGCAAUAAAGCCAAAUAUAUCAUCAUGCAUUUCAGUAAAUGUCCUUUAUUAACUUCAAAUUCAACAUUAAUGGACUUUUAAAUAUCAGUCAUCCCUUUUCUAUUGGACAUUGAUUCACGGUGACAUUGUUACACUGGUUUCUCUCUGGGGAUGUGUCCGAAAAAUGACAGGAAAGCCAGCACACGGCCAAUGCUCCGGACUAAACGCUAUAUUUAGAUUAACGUUUCCUCUAGAUUAAUUAAUCUUAUUUUAAAGUGUUCUUUACUAGCCCGGUUACCUGCACUUUUACGGUUGUGUAACAAAGCCAACACGCCUACUUUAUAAAUGGAAUCAACAUGAUGCGAGAAGUCGAGCUGAGUCCACUCGGUGUCCUGAGAUUAACUUAAGAAUGUACACAUGUUCAACAUUAAGAAAUGUAUUUACCAAAACGGGUAGUAGGAAGUGAGUGGACUGAACAGGAGACAUUCGCUGGAGGUCAACGUCUGUGCUGUUAUUUGUGCCUGCUGUAUCUUUUGUGCUGCCUGUCGAUCAAUAAAAGCACAGUCUAUGAUACUACUGAAUGCCGGCUUCUUCUUAUUGCUCGAUAGCAGUAGCAAAACCCCA
Molecule: long non-coding RNA, 4460 nt
Organism: Esox lucius (northern pike)
Lineage: Eukaryota; Metazoa; Chordata; Actinopteri; Esociformes; Esocidae
Source: Ensembl